AGUGGAAGAACUUUUAGACUAAAAUCUAUAUCUUUAGGCUUAAUUAAUUCAUAUACUGAUUAGAUUUUAUUUUUUUUGUAUAGUCAUGGCCUCAAACUUGUCGCUCCGAUCACUGUUUGACAGUGAAAAAUUGAUGGGAUCCAACUUUGAUAACUAGUAUCGAAAAUUAAAAAUAGUCCUGGAGCACGAGCAGAUCUUGUACAUCUUUACAGAUCCAGC
This 219-nucleotide long non-coding RNA is filed under the name Elaeis guineensis (African oil palm). RNAcentral describes it as "long non-coding RNA (EGUI_LNC044704)". The record is from RNAcentral. Lineage: Eukaryota; Viridiplantae; Streptophyta; Magnoliopsida; Arecales; Arecaceae.